GGGGGGGGGGGGGGGGGGGGGGGGGGGGGGGGGGGGGGGCGCGGGGGGGUGGGGCUGGGGCCGGCUGGCUGAGCAGCGCACUGGGGAGUAACGCGUGGGGAAUCUGGCUUGGGGCGGGGGACCACCUUUGGAGACUGAGGCUAAUACCGCCUCACAACUUUAAACACAAGGUUUAAGUUUGAAAGAUGCAAUUGCAUCCCUCAAAGCUGAUCCCGCGUUGUCUUAGCUAGUGGGUGAGGUAAAGGCUCACCCAGGCGAUGAUACAUAGCCGACCUGAGAAGGUGAUCGGCCACAUUGGGACUGAGACACGGCCCAAACUCCUACGGGAGGCAGCAGGAGGGAAUCUGCGGCAAUGGACGAAAGUCUGACCGAGCAACGCGGCGUGAGGGAAGAAGGGUUUCGGAUCGUAAAACUCUGUUGGUAGAGAAGAACGUUGGUGAGAGUGGAAAGCUCAUCAAGUGACGGUAACUACCCAGAAAGGGACGGCUAACUACGUG
Molecule: ribosomal RNA, 497 nt
Filed under: uncultured bacterium
Lineage: Bacteria
Description: partial 16S ribosomal RNA
Rfam family: Bacterial small subunit ribosomal RNA
Source: RNAcentral